Long non-coding RNA from Carassius auratus (goldfish), 2330 nucleotides. RefSeq lists it as uncharacterized. Lineage: Eukaryota; Metazoa; Chordata; Actinopteri; Cypriniformes; Cyprinidae. The record is from RefSeq and is a predicted model, not a curated record. The transcript has 3 exons.
AUGUGUAAUUGUUAAUGACCAGAUUUCACUGAUGUAUUCUGACUUCUUUUAAAAAAUCCUGCAAACUUCAGACUUUUGAACGGAAGUGCACAUAUUUGAUUGAAUUUAAUUCAUUAUUUUAAAAAGGUUCAGCUGUUGCAUCAAAGCAGGCCGUGAUGUUUCAUGUCUCUAAAUGAGGCUGUAACCUGGCUGAUCUCCAAGGAGUAAAUUGCAUCUCAGAAGGAAACAAUCUCAGGAAUCAUUAGUUCACUAAACACGUGGAUCGCUCUGCUGGAUUUGGGGGUGAGAUGAGUCACUCAACUCCAGAAUGAUCUGCAGUAACUUGCUCCACCUCUGAAACAACUUUCCUUUUUACUGACAGAAGCAACAGUUGAAGAGCUUUAAUUUACGGGUUUGUUUCUUGGACUAGAUGGACUAGUAAUAUAGAUUAUUGUGAUGUUUUUAGCAGCUGUUUGGACUCUCAUUCUGACGGCACCCAUUCACUGCAGAGUAUCCUCUGGUGAGCAAGUUAUGUCUCCAAAUCUGCUCCAUUGAAGAAACAAACUCUACACCUUAGAUAACCUGUGGGGCCAGCGAGGGAAAGAGGGAUUCAGUGGAGGAAAUCCUGCACCCAUCUGAGUCCCAGUCUCCCAUGAGAAAUUAUUCCUGGCUCACUUGCUGUGAGCAGAAGCUGGAGAUAUACGCUCAUACUGUAAUUACAGGAUGCAUGGAGCAUGACCUGUCAGACUGAGAGAAGUGCCUCGGUCGCUCCUUCAUCCUUCUCUCUUUCUCUCCGCACUGAUGUGUGUCCACAGCCCACUCUUGAACCACCUGGAGGCCUGUGUGUGUGUGUGUGUGUGUGUUGUAUAGUGGAUGACAGGCGCUCUCACUCUCGCUGUGGGUCACUGUCAGAGAGGCAGCAGGUGUUACACAGAUUCUCCAGCCAGAUGAAUCCACAUUCUCAUGCCUGUUUACUCAUUUGAUCAGUAUUCAUGGUUAAUUCAAUUAGAAAUUCUGAAUAUUAAAAUCAGGCUUUAAAAAGUCAUAGGUCAUAGUGUGUGUGUGUGUGUGUGUGUGUGUGUGUGUGUGUGUUUUAAUAUAAAUUAUAUCAAUUUUCGGAGUCAUUAAAAAUUCUAAAAAUGAAAACCACUUAUAAUGUUAAUCAGUAAUUGGCAAUGCAAUAAUUUGCACUCUUUCUCUGCCCCUUACAUUUAAAUUGGCCUUUUUUUGGCUGCUGUGCCUUUUAGACUUCUAUAUAAAUGCCCCUUUCACAUGUGAAAUGAGUAACCACGCUCUGCUGUCGGAUCCAAUAUAGUGUUUAACUGCUCCAUCCUUCAAUAACAAGCUCUGUGCAGAGCCUGAAAUUACAUUGUGACGCUCGAACUGUUAAGGUCACACAGAUGUGACUAUUUCAGGGCUAAAUUUAAAAAUACUCUUUUGUUUCAAAACAUCAGGGAAAAUUAGAUAAUGACCCCUUUGACCCUACUGUAUUAUAUUAGAUACACAUUUCGAAGGCCUCUAAAUGAUGGACAUGAUCAUUUUUUCAAAGAUGCUUUCUGUCGUCUGAUUGAUAGUUUAGACUUUUUUAAUAAGUAAAAAGCCUUUUAGUGUAAUUGUACAAAUGUGCAUCUUCAGCUCAUAUGCAUCUUUGUUACCGACUUUUAUCAAGUAAAUAUAAAAAUAACUUUGAUAUUGUUAGUAGUAUUUCAAGAACUUUCAACACUGGAUUUAAGAGACUCAGCUAUUGCUUAUUCAGUCAUAUUUUUUGGGGGAAAUUCAUAUUCAAAUAUGAUCAUUCAGGUUUUUGUGAAACGUUUGUUUGUUCAUCUCUCCUUAUGUUUUCAUUAUUAAAAUAAGCAUUUCAACAUUAUCUUACUAAGACUAAGAUAUAGAGUGACAUAAAAGCCCGGUGUAUCAAAAAUGAUACUCAACAAAAAUCACAUAUGCAUAUUUUAUAUAUAUACUGUAAAAUCCAUUCCCACAGUGAACCUUAAAAUUAAUGCAUUCAAUACCAAAGAAACAGUUCUGAUCUGAAGUGUAAUCAACUCUACUAACCUUUGUAACCAUAAAUCUAUUAAUCAAAUCACUUUGAUUCAUGACUGUUCGCGUUGGAUCAUUUUGUCUGGAAAGGUUUUUGAAACAGUCUAUACAUUAGUUCAGAGAGAGAGAACUCAGACAGGCUCAUGAAAAAAUAUUAUGCACAAUUGAACAGGUUAUGCUUUUUAUAUACACUAGUGUGAUUGCCAAGAAAAAUGAUUUUGUAUUUGACAAUGAUAAAUUACAUUUAGUCUGAUUAGUGCAGCACAAGCUGCAUAUUUUGUCCAUGUAUGGGACAGUGUCUGCAGAAUCGA